CCGCCACCUCCAGGCUUCACCGCAACUACUACACCACCCCAACCACCACUCCAAGCUAUAUACAAUAUACAUAUAUAUGUGUGUGUAUAUAUAUACACACACAUACACAGUAUAGUUAGGGUUAGGGUUUCGAAUGAUAGGGGAGAGAGAGAUCAGCGCGAUGGGAGGAGGCGAAGAGCGGAAGAGGUGGCAUCACGGUGGCUGCCGGCUGUGAGGUCGGGAGUGGCGAUCAGUGUGGAGGGGAAGGGUGCGAUACGAUUGGGGUGAAACUAAACUUCUCCAUA
RNAcentral lists this long non-coding RNA (284 nucleotides) under Actinidia chinensis (golden kiwifruit). RNAcentral describes it as "long non-coding RNA (ACHI_LNC009177)". Lineage: Eukaryota; Viridiplantae; Streptophyta; Magnoliopsida; Ericales; Actinidiaceae. The record is from RNAcentral.